GAAUUUUGAAGUUCAAGAUAGAAUGAGUGGCAUCUUUCUGAAAACAAGGGGCACAGAUUGGUGAGUUGUUUCCGAGAGCUUUAGUGCAGGAGUUCGGGCGUUUUCUAGGCAUUCCUCUGUACUGCUGACUCUUGAACAGCAUGGAUAUGAAGAAUGUGAUGAAUUCGCCGACAUCUUGGAGGGCUAGGGCAGCAGGGAGAUUUGAUUUGAAAAAGUUGCACAUUUUAUGUCCUAGAACUAUUGAAAAGUUUAUAAAAGGUAUCUCAGUGUAUAAAAAAGAUGUGCAUAGUUAUCAAAAUAUGUACAAAUUGAUUAUAAAAGUUUACCAAAACUUAAGAUUUCAGAGUAUAGCGAAAUGUAAGCAUCAACUAUAAAACUAGAAGGCGCAUGCUAAGAUAGAAUGCUAUACUACAGCAACCUUGUAGUCACUUCUGGUUGCGCUUGCUUCCAGAACACAUCGACCACCAGUGGCCCAGGACUGGGGAUGUUAAAACGUACACUUUUCAACUGGAGAGGCUGAACCGUGGUGGCUACUUAGAGUCACUACUGCUGCGAUGAAACACCAUGACCAAAAGGGUUAUUAGAGUCUUACCUUGAACUCGGAGAGAUCCACUUCCGUCUGCUUCUCCAGUGCUGAGAUUGGGGUUAUAGUUUUCCACAACCAUGCUGGUCCUCUUUUGGCUGUUUCAUUGUCUGACAAGAUUAGUCUGCAGCUCCGACUCAAGCUCGAUGUUCUAUGAAGAAGCUUAUCUGAUGAUGACUGAACAUGGCACUGAUUAUAGCAGAAUAUCAUGAGGAGCCAUUUCCUUUAUCAGUGAUAACUUGGCAAGCUUCAUCACUGAAGAUUUUUUAAGAGACGUUUACUCAGUCUACCCAGUUUUCUUUAGUGGAUUAAUCUUUUGAUGUCUUUAUCACCCAAACCAGGGUCACCUAAAGUUUCUUCUGUGACAUCUGAAGAAGUCAAAAGCUUCUUUACAUUGAGUCUAAGAGUAAAAUGCAAAUGUCCACUUGAAAGCAUAUGCUGAAAGUUCUGCACAUCUAGUAUAUUGUCAUUAAGUCUGUGCUUUCCAUGGAUCAUUCUUCAAAUGAAAUAGUAACAUAUGCUGGUAUAGUGUAUGCUAAAAUGCUGAUUUACAUUUCUCUAAUUUUUACUUAAUGCUUUGAGACCAUAUCAUUGGGAGGAUAUCUAUUUAAAUAAUUUUAUCCUCUUGACUUGAUUCAACUUUCAUUGAAAUGCAAGCCUUAUCUUUAGGCAGACUUUAUCAUAAACGUCAUUUAUCUAAUGCCAAUGUACAAGGUCAGAAUGCUGUGACAUUCUGACCAAAGUAUGUAUUCACGUAGGUGCUAGGAGUGUUUAUCAGUUGACUUCCUGUCUCUUCAGGAAAUGUGCUCAGCUGGAAGGAUCUGCUUUAGCCAAGAUCACUCACCUUUCCUAGUGCAGCUCCCUUCCUAGACUGCUCUGGUCACCUUGUUUAUCCCCUCUGCCAAUACUCCCUUCUGUCCCUUCUCUAAAACUCCAUUAUAUCCUUAGACUCUCCAUGGAUAUUGCCUUGUGUGAUUUCCUGUAGU
Molecule: long non-coding RNA, 1569 nt
Organism: Arvicola amphibius (Eurasian water vole)
Lineage: Eukaryota; Metazoa; Chordata; Mammalia; Rodentia; Cricetidae
Exons: 3
Source: RefSeq, a predicted model, not a curated record